GGUUUGCCCCCGGUAAACGGUUGCCCCUUAGAAGAUACCUUUCUUCUAUCAGGCAUUAAUAGGGAAUCCGGUUCAAUUCCGGAGCUAUCCCCGUAGCUGUGAUCCUGCAUCCUUAUCUUUCUCCAUAAGGAAUGUUUUCCGGACUCUUUCAACCACUUCCCGUAACGGGAGGGAAGGUCAAUCCGGGAAGCAGGAAAGCCAGAAGACCUGCCGUAUACCUAUUUUAUCA
RNAcentral lists this non-coding RNA (229 nucleotides) under Chitinophaga niabensis. The record is from RNAcentral. Lineage: Bacteria; Pseudomonadati; Bacteroidota; Chitinophagia; Chitinophagales; Chitinophagaceae.